UGGGGAAUUUUGCACAAUGGAGGAAACUCUGAUGCAGCGACGCCGCGUGAGUGAUGAAGAUCUUCGGAUUGUAAAACUCUGUCCUUAGUGAAGAUAAUGACAGUAACUAAGAAGCAAGCCCUGGCUAAGUACGUGCCAGCAGCCGCGGUAAUACGUAUGGGGCAAGCGUUGUCCGGAAUUAUUGGGCGUAAAGGGUACGUAGGCGGUUUAAUAAGUCCUAAUUAAAAGGCUAUGGCUCAACCAUAGUAUGGUUAGGAAACUGUUGAACUUGAGUAGAUGAGGGGAAAGUGGAAUUCCAUGUGUAGCGGUGAAAUGCGUAGAUAUAUGGAGGAACACCAAUGGCGAAGGCAACUUUCUGGAAUCAAACUGACGCUGAGGUACGAAGGCGUGGGGAGCAAACAGG
Molecule: ribosomal RNA, 403 nt
Filed under: Fusobacteriota bacterium
Lineage: Bacteria; Fusobacteriati; Fusobacteriota
Description: Fusobacteria bacterium partial 16S ribosomal RNA
Rfam family: Bacterial small subunit ribosomal RNA
Source: RNAcentral